UACAGAGGUCCCAAGCGUUGUUCGGAUUCACUGGGCGUAAAGGGUGCGUAGGUGGUUAGGUAAGUCAGGUGUGAAAUCUCCACGCUCAACGUGGAGGCGCCACCUGAAACUGCCGUGACUCGAGUCCGGUAGGGGAGUGUGGAAUUCCCGGUGUAGCGGUGAAAUGCGCAGAUAUCGGGAGGAACACCAAUGGCGAAGGCAGCUCGCUGGGACGUUACUGACGCUGAGACGCGAAAGCGUGGGGAGCAAACAGG
RNAcentral lists this ribosomal RNA (254 nucleotides) under uncultured bacterium. RNAcentral's name for it is "partial 16S ribosomal RNA". It matches the Rfam family "Bacterial small subunit ribosomal RNA", at positions 524 to 776 of the family's 1533-position model. The record is from RNAcentral.